AUCAAACACACUAAAUUUCUAAUGAAGAUUAGAUUUCUGUUGAUUGUCAAAAUAUGAUUAUAAAAGUAAUUUCAAACAGAAUAAACAUCAAAACAUCCAAAAUGUAUACCAUAUACAUCUAUCAAAAGUUGGAUUACUAGGGUCACUAUAGCUCUAAGAGAGAAUCCUAGCAUCCAAAGAGAGCAGGUCAGGGUGAUCUAGAAUAAAAGUCCAAAGUUUCCAACU
Molecule: long non-coding RNA, 225 nt
Filed under: Elaeis guineensis (African oil palm)
Lineage: Eukaryota; Viridiplantae; Streptophyta; Magnoliopsida; Arecales; Arecaceae
Description: long non-coding RNA (EGUI_LNC002352)
Source: RNAcentral